CGAGUGGCGGACGGGUGAGUAAUGUCUGGGAAACUGCCUGAUGGAGGGGGAUAACUACUGGAAACGGUAGCUAAUACCGCAUAACGUCGCAAGACCAAAGAGGGGGACCUUCGGGCCUCUUGCCAUCGGAUGUGCCCAGAUGGGAUUAGCUAGUAGGUGGGGUAACGGCUCACCUAGGCGACGAUCCCUAGCUGGUCUGAGAGGAUGACCAGCCACACUGGAACUGAGACACGGUCCAG
Molecule: ribosomal RNA, 239 nt
Filed under: uncultured bacterium
Lineage: Bacteria
Description: partial 16S ribosomal RNA
Rfam family: Bacterial small subunit ribosomal RNA
Source: RNAcentral